UACGUAGGGGGCAAGCGUUGUCCGGAAUCAUUGGGCGUAAAGCGCGUGUAGGCGGCUUGGUAAGUCCGGUGUGAAACCCUGGGGCUCAACCCCAGGCCUGCAUCGGAUACUGCCUCGCUCGAGUUCGGGAGGGGAGAGCGGAAUUCCUAGUGUAGCGGUGAAAUGCGCAGAUAUUAGGAAGAACACCGGUGGCGAAGGCGGCUCUCUGGAACGAUACUGACGCUGAGACGCGAAAGCGUGGGUAG
This 245-nucleotide ribosomal RNA is filed under the name uncultured bacterium. RNAcentral's name for it is "partial 16S ribosomal RNA". It matches the Rfam family "Bacterial small subunit ribosomal RNA", at positions 524 to 768 of the family's 1533-position model. The record is from RNAcentral.